CGGAAAAGUUAGGGCUUACAGAUUAACUCUGUCAUGAGAAAGCAUUUCAUUUCUUGUAGAAUACUUCCCAUCAACCAGAUCAUUACAAAAAUUAGCAUAAAAUUUCACCUAUUUAAGAAUCAGGCAGUGCAAACUACACAAUACUAAAUAUGAACUUCAGUUUAGCGGCGGUGGUUGUUGUUGUUGUUGUUUUAUAAAUAUCACCAGACACACAUCUGCGGUUUUAGUGCUUGCCACAGUGCAGUUUUCUGGUUGACAUAUAUCUAAGAAAUGUGCGUAUUAACACCCAGGCUCUAGAGCCAAGCACAUUUUAGUGCCGGCUACAGCUGAAAGAAUAUGUUUCCAUUCCUUGUCCAUCUGUUCUCAGCAACAUAAAUUUAAGCUUAGAAACACAGAAUAAGUUUCAUGAGAAAUAAGUCUAAAUAUGGCUUAGAAAAGCAAGGUGAAUGCUUUAAGUUAUUAUGACUUGUUAACAUUUCAUUUGGUAGCUAGAUGGUUGUGUUUAUAUGAAGAAAACUAACACUGCAGCUAGACCUUAAAGUUUAAAAAAUAAUAGUUUUUUAAAAUGAGUUCACUUGAAAAAAUGCAGUGGCUUGGUCACACUUUCUCUUUUCAGGGCUUUAAUUUACUACAGAUCAUGGGCCUAACAAACUUUGAGAUUUCAAAGUGCAGUUCACCACACACUUGAACUACCCUGAAAAUAUAUCAUUUAACCUCUCUGAGCUUCAUGCUAAAAUGGAUUCAUUAGUGGAAAAUGAGGGUUUUCUAUACAAAAUGAAGUACAUAACAACACGCAUAUGCUUGUUUUCCCUGGAGGCGUCUCUCAGCUAUAACCAGCUAUUACAUGGGAUCAUGUACAACGAUCAUACCCACCCUGUGCCGCUACAUACCACCUCUCUAGCCUACUUACUUACUUAUUUAUUAUUUAUUUAAUAAACCAGCUUCAUUCACUUUAUUUUCCUCAUAUGCAACUAUGUGGUGACCACAACUGGAGCCUGGGUCUGGUGCACAGACACACUGGCGUGGGUCUUUACAAGAAGGCCAGUGAAUUCCUGACAAGGAGACUUGGUGAGCACUGUCUUUCCCCAGAGAUAAGGAGUGAGAUAACUGUAAGUCUUGGAAAUAGCAUCAAAGGUGGCCUUGGUGAAGUUGCCCAGGGUGGCAAGGCAGUCCCUGACAGAGGUGGACAGAGGUGUUGCAGUCGUCAGUUCUGGCCAUCACCAGUAGCUUCUUGAGCACAGGGGCUAUGAUGAUGCCAGUGCCCCUGGGGGCAGGGAUGAGGUGCACCAGUCCUGAGCCACAGCAGCCAAUCACUUUGCAAGGGGCCACAGGGGGCUUGCUGAUCUUGUUCGCCCAGUAGCCUCACUGCAGGGGAACAAUGUAGAGCUUGGCCAGAAUGAUGGCUCCACGUAUAGCAGUGGCUGUCAUCUUAGAGCACUUGACACUGAAACUGACACAUCCAUUAUAGUCCCUAGUGGUGACAAGUGCCUUGAACCUGGUCCAUUGACCAGCACAGGUCUGCUUUUGCAAAGGCAUGAUCUUCAAAACCUGCCCUUGAGGGAUGCCCCUGGAAAAAGGCAGUGAUCUUAGAUUCUUUGAUGGGCAGAGAUAAGAGAUCUCCUCCAGGGACUUCAUGUCUUUGACCAGGCCACCCAGCUAGGUGAGAAGAAGCCACUCCUUGUCCUCCACCUUCCCUCCACAGCCUCAGUCCCAGCUCGGCCCUGGCCUAACCAUGGCUGAGACCCCUGCCCCUGACGCCACUGCCAAACCCCCUCUGUGCUUCUCAUUUCAGGGCCCCAAACCUCCACCUCCCCACCGCCCCUCUGCAGCACCUCAUCAUCAGCCAUAUGGUGUUGUCACAGAGAGGAGCUCUAGCCUACCUGUAAAAAGUGUUUAGUAGUAAAUACUUUAAAAAUAUCAAGUAAUUUAUUUACAUUUGAAAAUACAUGAAUUACAUGAAAGUAUCACUACAGAAAGGGACCAUACAUGUGCACCUAAAAUUUUACCUUCAAAGCAAGAGUUCAGGUAUUUAAGCUUCAAGACUGUGCUCCAAGACUGGGUCCUGUAGAAUUUUCUGAUGUGAGGGCGUCCUCUGCUUUCAAGCCACAUGAAAAUCUUCAGUUCGGAGAGGGACCUUGCGGCUCACACAUACCACUCUUGCUCCCUAUACAAGAAAUGCUUCUGUAAUUUUGUUUUAAAUAUCUCUUUUUGCUGUGGUUGAUUUAUCAAAUAUAGCAUGUAGUUAUGCCUCAGAGUAGUUGGAUUCAAAUUUUGGCUCUGUCACUUCCUAUAUAUGUGAAUAGGGAUAGAUUAGUUAACUUCUCCAUUUUUCAGCUCUGUAAAUUCUAAUAAUUAUUUUUGUCUUAAAUUGGCUGGGGGUGGGGAGCUGGGUAGCAAAGGAGGUGAUAUAGAGAAUGAAUAGUCCAGUGACAGAUACUGAGGAAACACCCAGCAAGCAAUACCUAAAACUGUUAGCCUCUUUUUACUGUCUUCUGUUAAAAAAUAUAAUGACUGUAAUGUGCUAAUUAGCCUAAUCUACUCUCAGGUGGACUUUGGUAACAUAUUCCUUAUCAUCAGAAAAGCAUUUCUGGAAACUAAUAUGGUUUCUCGAACUUCACAGAUUUACCUAUGACUGUGGACAAGUCACUCCGUGAUUCGGGGAUUCAAGUCUUCUGAUCUUUAAAAUGAGAAAUUUAAAUCUGUAACCUCUAAGGUCUUUGUCCAAGUAAUUUAAAAAAAUCAUGUUUGACAGCAUAUCCUCAUACUUUAUUUAUAGUACUGAAGUGUGUAUUUGCUGCCAAAUGUCUGAUGUGGGGGUGUAUAAAUGUUCCAUAUAUACUUGUGGAAUAGCAUCACAUUUGUGGAUGAUAAAAACUACUGGUAUAUUUUUUGGCAUUUUUUGGCUAAGAAUCCAUUCUUCCCAUUUGAUUUUAGAAAAAGCUGACAACACAUCUUUUCCCAGAGCACCUCAAGGUUUAGUCAAACUGAGUGUGUCGGAAAUAGGCCACCUUUUGUUACUUUUAAUAGAGAAUCCUAGUCAGAGAAACUUUCUCUGCGAAGUAACUUUUAUUUUUCAUUUCCAUAAUUUUAGGCUGUGCAGUAGGCAUAUGCACUGGAACUGACAAGGCUUCUGUUUUCUUUCAGAUCUGAGUGAUCAGCUGCUGGAGGUGGUUGGCUUGGAAGGAGCCAUGGAGAUGGGGCAAAUAUACACAGGCUUGAAAAGUGCUGGGCGGCGGCUGGCUCAGUGCUCCUCUGUGGUUAUCAGGUAGCUCCCUUCUCUAUAGUGAGAAAGAGAUUGACAUGGCAUAACUACGAAUUAUUUAAAAUUAUAGCAGACUCUGAUAAUAAUGUUUGUUUUAUCUGUACGUCAUUAUCAAUUUCUUUUUUUAAUGAUUUUUAUUUUUUUCCUUAUAGUUGGUUUACAGUGUUCUGUCAAUUUCUACUGCACAGAAAAGUGACCCAGUUACACAUAUGUAUACAUUCUUUUUCUCACAUUAUUCUCCAUCAUGUUCCUUCAUAAGUGACUAGAUAUAGUUCCCUGUGCUAUACAGAAGGAUCUCAUUGCUUAUCCACUCCACAUGCAGUAGUUUGCAUCUCCUAACCCCAGAACAAAUAAUGGAAAUUGGCAGAAUUUACAAAGUUUUCAUUCACUGUUACUUGCAAGUUCACUGGAAUUUGAUUCUUUUUUGUUGAGACCAUGCAUGCAAUUCUAACAUACAAAUUUUUCCCCCUCUAAUCUAGUUCACACUCAGUUUAGUUUACAGAGGGAAGUAUCUACCAGGCCAAAUACCCAAUGAAAACACUGUUGAAGGACCAUUAACUUAUAUUUUUUCAUGAACUAAAGUCCACCACUGUUUCUAGAAAAGUAAAUAAUGACUUAUUAUAAAGUAAGAUUUUAUAUGUGUAUUAUAUUUAAAUUUGUUUAAAAAACAGUAUUCACAAAUUUACCUACAGAUAAAAUAGAUCUAUUUUGACCUUAAAAUGAAACCACAGGCUACAGCACAGAUAUGAUUGGUGUUAUUUAUAUGUACGAAAGUGUUGAUGCUAGAAAAUCUGCGACGUCAAACACUUUUCUCCAGGUUUGCAAUGUGGGUUUGCAUGAAAUCAAGGAGGCCCUUUUGACUAUAGGAAUUCUGAUCGUGUCAUUAGGCAUAAAGCCAGCAUUUGUUUUUUGGCAUCCAGGAUUUUUUAUCACCACAUUUACCAGGAAGCUCUUAACGGUCCUGUAAUUAAGGUACCUUUCAGGUAUUCAUUAAUAGUGAAGAGUUCAAGUUCCUUUUCAGAAGAUAUAAUUUUAGAACAGAGCCUAGCUAUUACCAUAUAUGCAUUCCCUGGUCUCAUCAUCUUAUAUGGGACUUACAGCCUGUUGUAUAAAGCUGUGUUAAACUUUGAAAUAUUUUUCCCCAGGACUAGCAAGUCUCUGCCAAUGCAGAUCGAUGGGGAACCGUGGAUGCAGACCCCAUGCACAAUAAAAAUUAUACACAAGAAUCAAGCCCCAAUGCUGAUGGGCCCUCCUCCAAAAACGGGGUUGUUCUGCUCUCUCGUCAAAAGAACAAGAAACCGAAGCAAGGAAUAAUCCUGUAUCAUUUCAUUCUUAGAGAUCUAAUUAGCAUAAUUGGGCCAUGGAACACUUAUGCUGGAAAUCUUUCAACUAUUUCAAGUCUUCUGCUCAUGCAAAAUCAUGGAAUUGGUUUAACAGUUUUUGUUACCAAGCUAAUGUAAAAUCCAGCUAUAAGAAAAUUUAUUGUCUCAGUCUUCAAUAGGCAUCUCUGCAUGAAGAAAGCAGAAGUUUACAUGAAGUGAUACUGCAUAUUUUUGUUGCAUGCAUUCCCAUAGAUUUUUAUGUUCCCUACCCAUUAUUUCCCCAACUUACAUUUACUAACCUGUAAGAAAAAUCUGUACAACAUAAAAAAAAGGAAAUACCAUGGGAAAUGUGAUUCCCAUUAUUAAUAAGCACUAAUUAAUAAUGCUACAAUGAUCAUAAAUACGGAUUGCUACACUUUUCCCACUUAGAAUCGAACAAUAUAUCAAUGAUCUCUGACCUUUGACUUGAGGAGAAACUUGUAAUUGAAAGAUUUUAUUAAAUAGUUGUCUACUUGCUGUAUCUAAAUAGUUUUUCUUCAACAUCUUAAUGCUUCUGAGUGGAAUUUAAAAUAUCAGGUAUAAAGUUUCUUGUGAUAAAAAAUAGGAAGUGGUUUUUAUUUUGUUUAGUUCUGUUUUUAAUUCCAGACAUAAGUGAAAACAUGUUACUUGGCAGCAAAGUGUGUUAAUAUGGCAAGCCUUAUUCCUUCCUGCAUGUGAAUCUAGAAAAAAAUUCUUAAUCACAACAGUAACCAAAUAGAUGUUUGAAACUAUGUGCCUAACAAACUGUGUUUCCCACCAAAGAUUCAGAAAAAAAAAAAAAAAAAGAUGCUUGAGAGAAAUGGGCUAAUGCGUAAUUAAGUAAGCAUUGUGGAGAAAAUUUAUGGUUUUCAUGAUUAAUUUGGGGAAUGACUAAAACUCUGGAAGAGAAUGAAUUACACAUUAACCAUAAUUAAAAUUCCCACCUUUCGCAGACAAUAAGCCAUACAACACAAUCCAAGCUCAAUAGCUGAUUUCUUCCUUUUUUGGUUAUUAAUAAAUAUGUGUGUGAUUUUUAACAGAUCAGUUAAAUACACUUGAGAAAGUAAAUGAUUGUAUCAGUUCCGUUCUAGUAUAAAUUGAUACCUGUAAUAAUAUGGAGCGCACUGAAGCCAAUCAUGCAUGUAAUUAGUGCCCUCUCCCUCACCUACUCCACUACCCACUCUGUGACAUUUCAAAUAUUUAUUUGGAAAUAAUGGCCUGGAUUGUUAAGUUUUUCAUGACAUAAUUAGUUUCUCUGAUUGUUUGAAGAAAUCAUUGAAUAGUAUUUUUUAAAUGUUUCAUUAAGCCUAUGAUGUGAAAUGAAAUGCUAUUCUGGGCAGUCUUGAUAUUGUUCAUUCAUAAUGACCUGCAUCUCAUCAUUGCAUGUUUUAUGUUUUCAGACAUGCCAUAAGGAAAACGAGUGCUUGAAAUGCAUGAUUUAUUAGUUUAUCUCUCCACUCUGCAUUAAACUACUCAUGAUUUAUCAGUUCUAUUUUUCUAUUGAUUCAUUUAUCUUUGAAUAACAAAUAGCAUUUAGUGAUUCUGUUGAACAUAAUCCUGUGCAUGGAUUUAUGGAUUUCCAGUGAAGUCGCUAUAAUUUUAGUUCUUUGAUUUGUAAACUCAGCUCACUGUGGUUAUAUCAAAUAGCUACUCUCAAGCAGUGUGCUAUAAUGGAAGAUUAUGUAUAAAGCGUAUUUUUUUAGUGUUCCAGGAACAUCGGAUGGUAAAUAUCAAUCAACAAUAAGUUUAAUUGCUUUGAAAAUAAAAGCUUUUGAAUAAAUUAGGACAUAAUUUAGCAUUCUCGGGAAAAUUAUCAUUACAAUUGCAAAUGUAGCACAGCAAUCACUUGCCCCAGUAUAAUAAAGAAGUUAUUUGGCAGAGCAGUAAUCUAGACCAAAAGAAAUCUCAAGGUAGUAACAACUGCAUUACUGACAUAAUGUUACAUAACACACACAUUGAUUUUGUGUAUCUAUGGUUACAGGUAAUAAAUAUUUUUACAUAAAUUGACAAAAUUUUCUAUGAUGGGCAGGCAGGCUUUGUGUCAAAAACAUAUUCUGAAGCCACAAAUUAUUUUGUGCUCAUUACAACAUACAAUUAUUUCUUGGCUAGCUUUUAUGGUAUAUAGUUUGAAGGCAGCAACAGUUUGUGAAUCAAUCUGUGCAGUGAAAAGCUGUUGAAUAGACAGUGAGAUGAGAGAAAUCAAACAACCUGCCUAUAAGACUUCAGUAAUUGAGAUAAUGGGAUGUAGCUUUACUUCAGUGUAGCGAUAUAGCGAUAAUUAGUGAUAAUCGUAGUUAGAUUUUCAGUUAGUAGGAUUCACUGGUACCAAUAAUAAAUGUUCAAAUAGGAAUCAAAUUCUACUUUCCCCCACUCAUUUUCUAAAGAUACUGACUAGUUUGCCCUUCAAGUACACUACCCUUGGGACUUGGAAAGUAGUUUUAAAAACUUCCUUUGAUGGUUUUGAUAUCAGAGAAGGUAUUCACCCCAUUUUAAUGACAGCUACAAGUGAAAAAAAUAUAUUUUAAGAAAAAUUUCAAACUGAAAGCUCUAUGGUAGAUAGAAAUAUUAAAUACCAAAUGUUAGCUUUGUAAUCUGGAAACUCUUCUUAUGUGUGUAUGGGGAGUGUUUGUGUUCUGGAGCAACCUCUUUUCAGUAUAGUUGCAUAAAGGUUUAAGUGGAUGAAGCUCUUAGGUAAAAAUUAAACUGAGAUUGUAAGGGUCAGAGGUAAAGGGGAAAAGAGAUAGCACUUUGCUAAACAUUGUCAUACACUGAGUGGAUAAAUAGAGAUAGAUUCCAAAGGAAACCUGGAUAACCGUGCUUCUAACAGAAGAGGAGAUGUGUGUGAAGAACCAAGAAUUUUAAAGGUCAUAACCACUUACAUGCAUAUACCAUGUGUCUCUGAUGCUAAGAGUGCUGGUCAGUUUAUUGUGGAAGAAGAACAUAUUUUGUAGAAAAUGAAGAAAAUAGAAUUUUUAAGCAGUUUUCUUUUUUAAAGAUUAUGUGAUUAUAGCCAGGAUAAAGCAAAAUACUCAGAUAUUUAGUGUAUUCUACUGUAGGGGAAAAUUUAUAUCCAAUGAGAAUAAAUGAAUGGCAUAUAUACUUUUGCAUUUUGUUCUUUUUUCCUCAUUUCAGGGGAUGGGAAGCAAUUGCAGUUUUCAAGGAAGAAUCUUUUUUGAAUCUCAGACUGCAUUCUAUUUGAAUGAGACAAAACUUUUAAAUGGCCACAUUCCUUUUUUGUGUCAGGUAAUUCACUUUUAAUUGGUAAUAAAAAGGAAAAUGUACCUUUCUUGACACAUAUAACCCCCAAAGAGCUAUUCAAAUACAGUAUAUAUACUCUAAAUUAAAAUAUUAAGCUCUUGUAAUAUAUAUUGAGAAUGUAAAAUUUAAAUAAACUAAUAAAAACUUGCAAAGGAGCUUUUAUUUUGUGAAAUGUAGAAAUUACCCCUUCAAUCUCUUACUUUAAGUGUAUUCUGUUUAAAUAAAAUUUGAAUAA
This 8095-nucleotide long non-coding RNA is filed under the name Sus scrofa (pig). RNAcentral describes it as "lncRNA (ENSSSCG00035077919.1)". The record is from RNAcentral. Lineage: Eukaryota; Metazoa; Chordata; Mammalia; Artiodactyla; Suidae.